Astatotilapia calliptera (eastern happy) is the source of this 738-nucleotide long non-coding RNA. Lineage: Eukaryota; Metazoa; Chordata; Actinopteri; Cichliformes; Cichlidae. The record is from Ensembl.
UUAUGAGAACCGAUGACAACAGGGCAACUUGCAAAGUAGAUAUUUCAUUUAAGGGAGGAAACACUACGAAUAUGCAAAAGCAUUUGCUCACAAAACACGCGAUGACACGCGUUUUUAAUUCCGCUUCGGACUCGUGACUCUCAACCCAGCAGCAGCGCUAACGUUUGCACGUCCUCUCCCGUUAAUGCGGCAGAUUCAGUCACCCCAGCCAUAAACUGUUCAGACUGCUUCCAUCAGGAAGGAGGUUCUGCAGCAUCCGGUCCCGUACCAGCAGACUGAGAGACAGCUUCUUCCAUCAGGCCAUCAGACUGCUGAACACGUCAUAGACACCUCAGCUUCACUACUGGAACUUCAACAUUAUGCACUCCACACUGUAUAUAAAUGCCACUUGUUUUGCACAUAUUCAACUCUGUAUAUUUUAUAUAUUUUAUUAUUAUUAUUUUUUUUUUUUUUUACUAUUUAAUUUGUAAAAAAUGUGUAUACACACACACACACACACACACACACACACACACACACACACACACACGUAGGAAAAUAUUUAGUAUACACAUCCAGAAAUGCAUACACUAUUAUAUAUUGUACAUAUAUUUAUUAGUUUCAGGUUGGCCAUUCUUGUAUUUUGCUCGUUUGUGUUGUUGUGUUUGCACAUCUCUGUUGCUUGUGGGGCUCGCACACAAGAAUUUCACUCGCAUGUGCUGUGCCAGUGUGCCUGCACAUGUGAUGUGACAAUAAAAG